ACAAUCUAAGACAGACGGUCUUCCGGAAUGAGGGUCUUCAGGUAAUGGCACUGGUCUAUCAACAGUGUGCAUUCUGAACAUUCUGGUAGACGGGUGAUCUUCUCUUUCAACUGUCUUCUGAGCUCCAAGACUUCUCCUCCAAGGUAGUCCUCUGACUUCUGUCUCAACUCCAUCUCUUUCUUCAACUGAAUGUCUUUGUCUUUGAGUUGCUUCUCCAAGUCUUUGAUCUUCUUC
This 234-nucleotide long non-coding RNA is filed under the name Lathyrus oleraceus (garden pea). RNAcentral describes it as "Pisum sativum (pea) long non-coding RNA (PSAT_LNC017709)". Lineage: Eukaryota; Viridiplantae; Streptophyta; Magnoliopsida; Fabales; Fabaceae. The record is from RNAcentral.